This 792-nucleotide long non-coding RNA is filed under the name Struthio camelus australis. Its description in RNAcentral is "lncRNA (ENSSCUG00000003524.1)". The record is from RNAcentral. Lineage: Eukaryota; Metazoa; Chordata; Aves; Struthioniformes; Struthionidae.
CCCCUAAGCAGUUUCCUGUGCUCUGGUGAUGGGCAGAACGGCACAGACAAUGAGGGAACAUGACUGGAAUACGGAGGCAGCCGUCCUUGCUGCUCGGCGUCCGUAUGGAGAGAGGUGCUCGGCGAUCUUCCCAACAACGAAAGAACACUGUGUGCUCCCGGAUGCUGCAGUCUUUGCAUGAUGCCAGCUAACUACCUGAGAGAUCAAGCUUGAGCUGUGGCCCCGUAAGAACACCAGAACACUGCAUGAGGACAGUCUUUCGACCCUGUGCUACACCUUCUGCAUCUGAGGGUAACCCGGAUCCAGUAAGAGCAUCUCCAAUCAUCGUUUUCCAGUGCCUGGGGGCAGGAACGUGGCUUUCAGAUCUCCAACAGCAGGCUGACCUGGACUGCUUUUUGCAAUGUGUGAGCAAGGUAUUUCAGAUCUGGCUACACUGCUCUAGCAGCAUUCCCUUGUCUUCUCCAUGAUGAAUGUGAACUAGAAAGGAUCAGAUCUGUUAAAAAAAAAAAGUCUCUAAAAUAGGACAGAGCUAGACACCAUAAUAACAAAAUAUGCCACCAUGAAAACCCCUGCUCAGCCUUUACCUAACCUUAGGAGCACUUGAACUCACUCAGAGCCUCCCUUUCUCAUCUGUGGUUUCUCUGCUGCUGCACAUGACCCGGACCUUCUUCAUCCUUACACUUGAUGCUUUGCUCUCGUAUGAUUUUUCUUACCCAACAACUAGACAGAGCCAGGCUUAAAUCUCUUCAGGUCCUAAAUCACUGGCUAUAUUCUGCAUUCCUCAAACACCCA